ACUCCUACGGGAGGCAGCAGUAGGGAAUCUUCCACAAUGGACGCAAGUCUGAUGGAGCAACGCCGCGUGAGUGAAGAAGGGUUUCGGCUCGUAAAACGCUGUUGUUGGAGAAGAACCGGGGGUAGAGUAACUGUUAUCCCCUGACGGUAUCCAACCAGAAAGCCACGGCUAACAC
RNAcentral lists this ribosomal RNA (175 nucleotides) under uncultured Lactobacillus sp. Its description in RNAcentral is "partial 16S ribosomal RNA". It matches the Rfam family "Bacterial small subunit ribosomal RNA", at positions 335 to 503 of the family's 1533-position model. The record is from RNAcentral. Lineage: Bacteria; Bacillati; Bacillota; Bacilli; Lactobacillales; Lactobacillaceae.